GUGGGGAAUCUUAGACAAUGGGGGAAACCCUGAUCUAGCCAUGCCGCGUGAGCGAUGAAGGCCUUAGGGUUGUAAAGCUCUUUCAGCUGGGAAGAUAAUGACGGUACCAGCAGAAGAAGCCCCGGCUAACUCCGUGCCAGCAGCCGCGGUAAUACGGAGGGGGCUAGCGUUGUUCGGAAUUACUGGGCGUAAGCGCGCGUAGGCGGACCAGAAAGUUGGAGGUGAAAUCCCAGGGCUCAACCUUGGAAUUGCCUUUGAUACUGGCUGUCUUGAGUACGGGAGAGGUGAGUGGAACUCCGAGUGUAGAGGUGAAAUUCGUAGAUAUUCGGAGGAACACCAGUGGCGAAGGCGGCUCACUGGCUCGAUACUGACGCUGAGGUGCGAAAGCGUGGGGAGCAAACAGGAUUAGAUACCCGUGUAGUCC
This 424-nucleotide ribosomal RNA is filed under the name uncultured bacterium. RNAcentral describes it as "partial 16S ribosomal RNA". It matches the Rfam family "Bacterial small subunit ribosomal RNA", at positions 354 to 796 of the family's 1533-position model. The record is from RNAcentral.